AGAACGAACGCUGGCGGCAUGCCUAACACAUGCAAGUCGAACGCUCUUGGGGCUUCGGUCUCAGGGGAGUGGCGCACGGGUGAGUAGCGCGUGGGAACCUGCCCUGUUGUGGGGGAUAACCGAGGGAAACUUCGGCUAAUACCGCAUAAGCCGGUUGUCUUGAAGGAGAUGGCCGGGAAAGAUUUAUCGCGACAGGAGGGGCCCGCGUCGGAUUAGCUAGUUGGUGGGGUAACGGCCCACCAAGGCGGUGAUCCGUAGCUGGUCUGAGAGGAUGAUCAGCCACACUGGGACUGAGACACGGCCCAGACUCCUACGGGAGGCAGCAGUGGGGAAUAUUGGACAAUGGGCGCAAGCCUGAUCCAGCAAUGCCGCGUGAGUGAUGAAGGCCUUAGGGUUGUAAAGCUCUUUCGCCCGCGACGAUGAUGACGGUAGCGGGAGAAGAGCCCCGGCUAACUUCGUGCCAGCAGCCGC
Molecule: ribosomal RNA, 471 nt
Filed under: uncultured bacterium
Lineage: Bacteria
Description: SSU rRNA
Rfam family: Bacterial small subunit ribosomal RNA
Source: RNAcentral